UACGGGGGGGGCAAGCGUUGUUCGGAAUUACUGGGCGUAAAGGGCUCGUAGGCGGCCAACUAAGUCAUGCGUGAAAUCCCUCGGCUUAACCGGGGAACUGCGUCUGAUACUGGAUGGCUUGAGUUCGGGAGAGGGAUGCGGAAUUCCAGGUGUAGCGGUGAAAUGCGUAGAUAUCAGGAGGAACACCGAUGGCGAAGGCAGGUCUCUGGGCCACUACUGACGCUGAGAAGCGAAAGCAUGGGGAGCGAACAGG
This 253-nucleotide ribosomal RNA is filed under the name uncultured bacterium. RNAcentral's name for it is "partial 16S ribosomal RNA". It matches the Rfam family "Bacterial small subunit ribosomal RNA", at positions 524 to 776 of the family's 1533-position model. The record is from RNAcentral.